This 755-nucleotide long non-coding RNA is filed under the name Mus musculus (house mouse). RNAcentral's name for it is "predicted gene, 50218". Lineage: Eukaryota; Metazoa; Chordata; Mammalia; Rodentia; Muridae. The record is from RNAcentral.
GAGGGAAGUCAGGGCUGGAACUGGAGGCAGAAACCUGGAAGAAUGCGGCUUGCUGACUGGCUCUUUCUCAGGUGGGAAUUUGCACAUCCGCUGAAGGUCCCUGCCAACUGUUGGUUUUUUGCCGGGUCAUUGAAGAGCCAGCGGCCAAUGGCUGGGAAAGGGGAGAGAGGCGGGACUUUUUGGAUUCGCAGGCAAGAAAUGCUAAGGAAAGAAGGGAAAGAAUGACCAGGAUUGGGAAGCAGAGCGAUCAGACUAAAGAGCCCACUAACAGAGCUCUAUGGAGGGUGCAGAGCUGGGAGCAUCGAGUGGCCUAUAAAUAUUUACCGCAACACCAGAUGACAUCAACUACUCAACUAAGACACCUUCUUCAGAACUCUUGGCUCCUUCUCCAGUACCAUGUCUCCUUGUGCGUCACCAUGCUUCUGGCCAUGAUGCCAAGGACUGAGCCUCUGAACUGUAAGCCUGCCCCAAUUAAACGCUUCCCUUCAUAAGCGUUAUCGCGGUCAUGGUAUCUCUUCACAGCAAUAAAGCCCCAACUGAAACAAGCCCUAAUCCCUGCUCUCGGUGGAUCGCAGAGGGGUAAGCUUCCAGUUUGUCCCCCUAAACCAUGUUGGCAGAUGUGACUAUUCCCUGCCACGUCUAGUUUUCUCCCUCUUGGGAUAAUGUAGAGGACCAGUCACACCAGGCCAGUCCCUGCAGAGGUCAGGAUCAAGUGCAGACAAGCUGGACUUUAUGAGAAUCUAUGCUGGUCUCUC